Molecule: ribosomal RNA, 551 nt
Filed under: Anaplasma bovis
Lineage: Bacteria; Pseudomonadati; Pseudomonadota; Alphaproteobacteria; Rickettsiales; Anaplasmataceae
Description: bacterial SSU rRNA
Rfam family: Bacterial small subunit ribosomal RNA
Source: RNAcentral
CUCGUAGCUUGCUAUGAGAACAAUUAGUGGCAGACGGGUGAGUAAUGCAUAGGAAUCUACCUAGUAGUAUAGGAUAGCCACUAGAAAUGGUGGGUAAUACUGUAUAAUCCCUGCGGGGGAAAGAUUUAUCGCUACAUGAUGAGCCUAUGUUAGAUUAGCUAGUUGGUGGGGUAAUGGCCUACCAAGGCAGUGAUCUAUAGCUGGUCUGAGAGGAUGAUCAGCCACACUGGAACUGAGACACGGUCCAGACUCCUACGGGAGGCAGCAGUGGGGAAUAUUGGACAAUGGGCGCAAGCCUGAUCCAGCUAUGCCGCGUGAGUGAGGAAGGCCUUAGGGUUGUAAAACUCUUUCAGUGGGGAAGAUAAUGACGGUACCCACAGAAGAAGUCCCGGCAAACUCCAUGCCAGCAGCCGCGGUAAUACGGAGGGGGCAAGCGUUGUUCGGAAUUAUUGGGCGUAAAGGGCAUGUAGGUGGUUUGGUAAGUUAAAGGUGAAAUGCCAGGGCUUAACCCUGGAGCUGCUUUUAAUACUGCCAGACUGGAGUCCGGGAGA